RNAcentral lists this ribosomal RNA (498 nucleotides) under uncultured Actinomycetes bacterium. RNAcentral describes it as "bacterial SSU rRNA". It matches the Rfam family "Bacterial small subunit ribosomal RNA", at positions 355 to 867 of the family's 1533-position model. Lineage: Bacteria; Bacillati; Actinomycetota; Actinomycetes. The record is from RNAcentral.
CAGGGAAUCUUGCGCAAUGGGCGAAAGCCUGACGCAGCAACGCCGCGUGGGGGAUGAAGGCCUUCGGGUUGUAAACCCCUUUCAGGAGGGAAGAAAUUGACGGUACCUCCAAAAGAAGGACCGGCCAACUACGUGCCAGCAGCCGCGGUAAUACGUAGGGUCCUAGCGUUAUCCGGAAUCAUUGGGCGUAAAGAGCUCGUAGGCGGUUCAGCAAGUCGGCUGUGAAGGUCCGAGGCUCAACCUCGGAAUUGCAGUCGAUACUGCUGUGACUCGAGUCCGGUAGAGGAGAAUGGAAUUCUCGGUGUAGCGGUGAAAUGCGCAGAUAUCGAGAGGAACACCAGUAGCGAAGGCGGUUCUCUGGGCCGGCACUGACGCUGAGGAGCGAAAGCGUGGGGAGCAAACAGGAUUAGAUACCCUGGUAGUCCACGCCGUAAACGUUGGAUACUAGGUGUGGCGGUUAUACCAAUGACUGCCGUGCCGAGCUAACGCAUUAAGUAC